AUACAGAGGGUGCGAGCGUUAAUCGGAAUUACUGGGCGUAAAGCACGCGUAGGCGGCUUAUUAAGUCAGAUGUGAAAUCCCCGGGCUCAACCUGGGAACUGCAUCUGAUACUGGUAAGCUAGAGUUUUGGAGAGGGAAGUAGAAUUUCAGGUGUAGCGGUGAAAUGCAUAGAGAUCUGAAGGAAUACCAGUGGCGAAGGCGACUUCCUGGCCAAAAACUGACGCUGAGGUGCGAAAGCGUGGGUAGCAAACGGGAUUAGAAACCCCAGUAGUCC
Molecule: ribosomal RNA, 274 nt
Filed under: uncultured bacterium
Lineage: Bacteria
Description: partial 16S ribosomal RNA
Rfam family: Bacterial small subunit ribosomal RNA
Source: RNAcentral